UAUGGUAUGGUGCUUAGGUUACU
RNAcentral lists this non-coding RNA (23 nucleotides) under Arabidopsis thaliana (thale cress). The record is from RNAcentral. Lineage: Eukaryota; Viridiplantae; Streptophyta; Magnoliopsida; Brassicales; Brassicaceae.